This is a long non-coding RNA of Hypanus sabinus (Atlantic stingray), 112 nucleotides long. RefSeq lists it as uncharacterized. The record is from RefSeq and is a predicted model, not a curated record. The transcript has 3 exons. Lineage: Eukaryota; Metazoa; Chordata; Chondrichthyes; Myliobatiformes; Dasyatidae.
CAGAUAUCAGUACCAUAACAUCACUGACACCGAAUACCACAGAUAUCAGUAAGUUAUCAUCACUGACACCGAAUACCACAGUGAACAGUACCACUGGUGUGAUGUCUGUUCC